GCAGACCACCCUGUUGGUGAUCAAAAUGAAGUGUUCGAAGAAUUUAAGGAGCAGCUACAAAGAAGUAAAGAUGGAUGGUAUCAAACUGGUCUCCCUUGGAAGGGAGAUCACCCGGCGCUGCCAACUGGGAAAUAUGUCAGUUUACAUAGAUUAAACACUCUAGUUCGCAAGCUAGAGAAAUCAGGAACGAUCAACGAUUAUGAUGCAAUCAUCAGAGAGCAGCUGAACCAAGGCGUAAUAGAGCGUGCCCCAGACACAGUGGUCGGCGAAGAAUGCUACAUUCCACAUAAGCCAGUGAUACGAGAGAAAGCAGAGAGUACAAAACUUCGAAUUGUGUACGAUGCUUCGGCGCGAGUAGAAGAUAAUGCACCAUCUCUAAAUGAAUGUCUCAAUCCUGGUCCGCCACUCCAAAACCAACUCUGGAGUGUGCUCGUAAGAGGACGAUUUAAUCCUGUAGCCCUCACGGCAGAUAUCAAGCAAGCCUUCUUACAAGUCCGAAUUUGUGAAGAGAACAGAGAUGCUUUAAGAUUCCACUGGUUAAAAGAUGUGAAUUCAAAGGAGGUGGAGACCUACAGGUUUACUAGGGCAUUAUUCGGACUCGCCCCAUCUCCAUUUCUUUUGGGCGGAGUGAUCAAACAACAUCUUGAAGUGUGGCGCAGUAAAAGUCCAGAAACUGUGCGUGAAAUCGAAAAGAGCCUCUACGUGGAUGAUUUGAUAUCAGGUGCGACAACCACCAAUGACGCCAAGCUACUCAAAGUUGAAGCUACAGAAAUAUUCGAGGACGCUGCCUUCCAACUACACAAGUGGCAUUCGAACGAAGCUACACUGGAGUCCAACCAACAUGAAGGAGAACUCACAGAUCAGACCUUUGCUAAACAGCAACUGAGACAGCCAGAUAACGGGAACUGCAGCCUCCUUGGGCUUGCAUGGAAUAAGAACAAAGACACAAUUAGCAUUCCUAUUUCGAAUGAGGAAGUACCAACAACCAAACGAGGAGUUCUAACGAAAGUAGCAAAGAUCUAUGACCCACUGGGGUUGGCGUCACCAUUGUCACUAACUGGGAAAAUGCUGUAUCGAGAAACGUGCAACCUUAAAUGUACAUGGGAUCAAGCACUACCAAUUGACCUCGGUAAGAGAUGGAAACGAUGGGAAAGAGAGUUACCAGAACGUAUAACAACAGUGAGGUCUUUGGCAAAGUACCAAGAACCAGUCACCAACAUCACUCUUCAUGCGUUCGGCGAUGCGAGUGGAAACGGGGUAGCUGCAGCCACCUAUGCUGUAGUGUCUCAACCAUCAGGGCAAACACAAGGGCUCGUGACAGCCAAGGCACGACUCGCCAAACAAGGACUAACUAUACCUCGACAAGAAUUAGUUGCUGGCCACAUGGCUGCUAAUCUUGUCACUAAUGUCAAGGAAGCACUCGAAGGAUUCCCUGUAGCAAACUCAUACUGUUGGUUAGAUAGUACGGUGGCCCUUCAUUGGAUUCGAGGCGAAGGAAACUACAAGCAAUUCGUGCAAAACCGAGUCAACAAAAUUCAGCAGAAAAACCUCGAGUGGAGAUACG
This 1564-nucleotide long non-coding RNA is filed under the name Paramuricea clavata. Lineage: Eukaryota; Metazoa; Cnidaria; Anthozoa; Malacalcyonacea; Plexauridae. The record is from RNAcentral.